GUGCUCGUUCCAUGAAAUUGGGGGAUGUGGAUGCUUGAACGGGCUCUCCGCUGGUGUGCCUUCCAUGCAGAGGAGGUCCCCUGAGGCCUUAGAGAUGAAUCUCCCAGAAGUGGCAGCUGUGGCAGGGACACCAGGUCAUGAGGGACAUGGGAGGUGAACCCGCUGCUCACUUCCUGGCCCUCGUCCCUUAGACCUAGUCUUCGGAGCAGAACUGGGGGAAGCUGAGGUUUCUGUGGGCUGUGUGCCCACCUCCUCCCUCUUCGUUGGUCCUCCCACGCGCCCGCCCCCGAGUGGGAGCAGAGCCGUGUGAGCUGAGUUGGAGCUGCUCGCUGCCGAGAAUUGCAUCAGCCCCGCCUGGCAGGCUGGAGCGGGAGCCUGUUGCUAUGGUGACCACCAGGCUUCAAACCAGUGAGAAGGAUGAGAUGGUUGCCGGGCGAGGUUUUCUCACCUUGUGAUGCGUGUGACAGGCUGACAGGUUCAGUAGACGUGGACCCCAGCCCU
This 501-nucleotide small RNA is filed under the name Pongo abelii (Sumatran orangutan). RNAcentral's name for it is "processed transcript". The record is from RNAcentral. Lineage: Eukaryota; Metazoa; Chordata; Mammalia; Primates; Hominidae.